Molecule: long non-coding RNA, 268 nt
Filed under: Buteo japonicus
Lineage: Eukaryota; Metazoa; Chordata; Aves; Accipitriformes; Accipitridae
Description: lncRNA (ENSBJAG00000012295.1)
Source: RNAcentral
CAGAGAAGGAGUUCCAUGAUGCGGCAAAGCGUAAUGACACAGCCAGGAUGGAGGAGCUCAUCAGGAGAGGGGUUGACAUCAAAGCCAAAACCAAUACCGGACUGCCCUGCACUGGGCCGCAGGAGCAGGGAACGUGGAUGCUGUGCGACUGCUCCUGGAUCACGAUGUCCCGGUUGAUGACAAAGACAGUUUUGGAAUGAAUGCGCUUCUCCUGUCUGCCUGGUUUGGCCACCUCCGCGUCUUGCAGAUCCUCAUCAAUGCUGGGGCC